GACGAACGCUGGCGGCGUGCCUAAUACAUGCAAGUAGAACGCUGAAGAGAGGAGCUUGCUCUUCUUGGAUGAGUUGCGAACGGGUGAGUAACGCGUAGGUAACCUGCCUGGUAGCGGGGGAUAACUAUUGGAAACGAUAGCUAAUACCGCAUGAUAUUAAUUGUCGCAUGAUAAUUAAUUGAAAGAUGCAAUUGCAUCACUACCAGAGGGACCUGCGUUGUAUUAGCUAGUUGGUGAGGUAACGGCUCACCAAGGCGACGAUACAUAGCCGACCUGAGAGGGUGAUCGGCCACACUGGGACUGAGACACGGCCCAGACUCCUACGGGAGGCAGCAGUAGGGAAUCUUCGGCAAUGGGGGGAACCCUGACCGAGCAACGCCGCGUGAGUGAAGAAGGUUUUCGGAUCGUAAAGCUCUGUUGUAAGAGAAGAACGGGUGUGAGAGUGGAAAGUUCACACUGUGACGGUAUCUACCA
This 474-nucleotide ribosomal RNA is filed under the name Streptococcus sanguinis. Its description in RNAcentral is "bacterial SSU rRNA". It matches the Rfam family "Bacterial small subunit ribosomal RNA", at positions 28 to 485 of the family's 1533-position model. Lineage: Bacteria; Bacillati; Bacillota; Bacilli; Lactobacillales; Streptococcaceae. The record is from RNAcentral.